AUGGAUGUGAGGAUCCUUUCCCCAAAUGAUCGACUAUGAUUAUACUGUACGCACAUAUAAUCCUCAUCAGAGGGUUCCAAGCAAGAAAUCUGAUCCAU
Triticum aestivum (bread wheat) is the source of this 98-nucleotide non-coding RNA. NCBI's taxonomy places the organism in Eukaryota, Viridiplantae, Streptophyta, Magnoliopsida, Poales, Poaceae. The record is from Rfam.